This 2214-nucleotide unclassified non-coding RNA is filed under the name Hevea brasiliensis (rubber tree). The record is from RNAcentral. Lineage: Eukaryota; Viridiplantae; Streptophyta; Magnoliopsida; Malpighiales; Euphorbiaceae.
AAAAUUUCGGCUCAAAUUAUUCAUUCAUGUGACAAUCAUAAACCACACCUCUCAACCAUUAGACUUGAAAAUUGACUCUAGAAAAGUACAAAAUCUUACAGUAACUUUAGAUUCAUUUAUGAGAACAGAAUUGCAGAAGCCAAAUCUAAAUAUAAACAAUUACAAGAUCAACUAAAUGCAACCAUCAGCAGCAAGAUGCCCAGUCCAUGUCUGAUUUCCACCUAACAGCUACAAAUUUUUUACUGUUUAUCCUUUCAGGUCUAGAGCUGGCUACUCAAAUUAUGAAGUAUCAUCUGUUUUCCCAUAAAUUUAUCCCAAUGAUUGCAGAGAACAGCAGAUAAUUGCGUGGCUGACCAAGUCAAUCAACGAAGAAGCAAUUUGAUGUAAAUUCUUUAGCUCAGGUGACCUUAACAUUCAGUACAAGUAUACUGAAUAAUUUAAGCCCCAAAUACGUAGAUGAGGAAAGAAAAGGAGUUCGCAUUUUGUCUUAUCAACAACUCUGCAUCAUCAAGGCAGCACAACAAUUUAAAAUGACCAAUAGUCCAUGAUGAACUGAUGCUUACCUCCAUAAGGGAAGUUCUUUAUGCAAAAUUUUAUAUUUAUCCUUGUUUCUUCAGCAAAAUAAAUUGCACUGAAUUAGAUACCCUGUACAAUGUACACCUUAAUUCCCCAAGUCAAAAUUGGGAAGUAAUAGUUUCAUUCCCAGACUAGGUCAAGAGCUCCUUCCCAUGUCUUUGCCAGUGAAUUCUCCACCUCCAAAGGAAGCCGCUGCAGCAGCCACAUCUAAACCACUACCAAUAGAUGUAAUUAGAGCCGACAGGCCACUGCCAGGGCUUCCACCAGCAGCCAUCCCCAAUCCAAGAAAAUCAAGGGUAGUUUGCUUAGGACCAAACACAGAAGGAGUUCCCAUCAUCAAUUCCUUUAAUCCAGAACCUCCAUCACAAUGCAAACCAAGUCCCAGCCCUGCAGUGACUGAGGUAUUCUCAGGCUCCACUUGCCUGUGACCCCAUAGCAUAUUGUCUUGCUGUGCAGAUGAUGAUGAUGACACAAUCCCAAGACCACGGAGCAAUGAUGCAUUUGUAGCAGCAGCCCCCAUUUGAGCAGCUUUUUGUAAUAGUGCAGUGGCAGACAUUGCUGGUUGAGGUGGAGGUGCAUAUUGCCUAAGCUCUUGCCCUGCAGUACCAAAUAUUGAUGACCCAUGAUUGGUUGAGAGGCAAAGAGAAAUGGGUUCAGUAGAUGAUGAUGGACCAAGAUCUGCAGGUCGAUCAGGGUGACCCAUGGCCCGAAUUAGGUCAGUAAAUGCAGGAGUUUGAGGAGGCUGUAAGCUUCCAGAUGCAGUUGAUGAAACAAAUAAACUAGCAAAGACACUACUGCUGGAGCUACCAUUGCUGCAUGAGCUGGUGCUACUGCUACAGCUUCCAUUUAAACCUGCCAGUGCUGGUGCCAGUGUUGGUGCCGGUGCCGGUGCCCGUGCCCGUGCUUCUUCUAUAAUUGGAGUGGGAUUAUCUGGCAACUCUGCAUUAGUCAAGCAAAAGAGGGAAAAGAGGAAAACAAAAAGGGUCACCUAAACAUACACUCAUGGAAAGUUAGGCUUUUCUUUAUGAAGAACUUUAGACGAAAAAGCAAGAGUCAAUAAUGGUUCCCUUUCUCUAAACUAAACACACUUCUCUUUCUUUUUUCGCUUUUGAAUCACUUAUGUUCUUUAUCAAGAUUGCGCAAACUGAAUCUCAUAGUUUAGAAGAAAGCUUAUUUUUCUUGCUUCCAUUAGCUCUACAACAAAACUACAUACUGUGCUAUUUAUCUUAAUAAAAACAAAGAUCAAUAACUGACAAAAAACUGCUAGACUCCAAGAUCCAUAUAAAGAGAGAGAAAAACAACAAAGAUUUCUCAUUUGUUAAGACAAAAGAUCGCAACCGACAAAAUUGAAACGAAAUUUUGGCAAGUUUCCAAAUUUGGAUCAAUAUUUUACCUGAGCUAUGAGUCGGCGAAACUGAAGAAGACAUUACUCCAGCUGACUGAGAUAGAGCUGGUAGGGCUGAAGCUGGAGCUGCAGCUGCAGGUACUGCUGGUGGUGGCGGCGGCGGCGGCUUUGGAGGUGGAUCAACCUGUAAAUUCGGCUUCCCUUCUGGAUUUGGAUUCGCAGCAGCUAGAUUCGAAGCCGGAGUUGGAGUCCGAGUCUGUGUUCUGGCGCUCUCCUCUGCUAAAGCAUCACAG